This 215-nucleotide ribosomal RNA is filed under the name uncultured bacterium. RNAcentral's name for it is "partial 16S ribosomal RNA". It matches the Rfam family "Bacterial small subunit ribosomal RNA", at positions 524 to 737 of the family's 1533-position model. The record is from RNAcentral.
UACGUAGGGUGCAAGCGUUGUCCGGAAUUAUUGGGCGUAAAGGGCUCGUAGGCGGUCCAUCACGUCGGGAGUGAAAAGCUGGGGCUUAACCCCAGUCCUGUCUUCCGAUACGGGUGGACUAGAGGUAGGCAGGGGAGAACGGAAUUCCUGGUGUAGCGGUGAAAUGCGCAGAUAUCAGGAGGAACACCGGUGGCGAAGGCGGACUUCUGGGCCGU